This 425-nucleotide ribosomal RNA is filed under the name uncultured bacterium. Its description in RNAcentral is "bacterial SSU rRNA". It matches the Rfam family "Bacterial small subunit ribosomal RNA", at positions 355 to 776 of the family's 1533-position model. The record is from RNAcentral.
UAGGGAAUAUUGGACAAUGGGCGAAAGCCUGAUCCAGCCAUCCCGCGUGAAGGAUGAAGGCCCUUUGGGUUGUAAACUUCUUUUGUCAGGGAAGAAACCCUCGAAUUCACUUCGAGGCUGACGGUACCUGAAGAAUAAGCACCGGCUAACUCCGUGCCAGCAGCCGCGGUAAUACGGAGGGUGCAAGCGUUAUCCGGAUUUACUGGGUCUAAAGGGUGCGUAGGCGGGUUUGUAAGUCAGCGGUGAAAGCCUGGAGCUUAACUCCGGAAUUGCCAUUGAUACUGCUUAUCUUGAGUACAGUUGAGGCGGGCGGAAUACAUCAUGUAGUAGUGAAAUACUUAGAUAUGAUGUAGAACACCGAUUGCGAAGGCAGCUCGCUAAACUGUAACUGACGCUGAGGCACGAAAGCGUGGGGAUCGAACAGG